Molecule: ribosomal RNA, 1202 nt
Filed under: Flavobacterium psychrophilum
Lineage: Bacteria; Pseudomonadati; Bacteroidota; Flavobacteriia; Flavobacteriales; Flavobacteriaceae
Description: partial 23S ribosomal RNA
Rfam family: Bacterial large subunit ribosomal RNA
Source: RNAcentral
GUACAAUAAGCAAAAUAAGGGCGUAUGGGGGAUGCCUUGGCUCUCAGAGGCGAUGAAGGGCGUGAUAAGCUGCGAAAAGCUACGGGGAUCAGCACACAUGACUUGAUCCGUAGAUACCCGAAUGGGGCAACCCACUAUGUUGAAGACAUAGUACACCGAUAGGUGGGCAAACCCGCUGAACUGAAACAUCUAAGUAGGCGGAGGAGAAGAAAACAAAAGUGAUUCCGUAAGUAGUGGCGAGCGAACGCGGAUUAGCCCAAACCAAUGUUGUUACGGCAAUGUUGGGGUUGUAGGACCACGUUAUUUGUUGCGGAUAGAAUUAGAAUUUACUGGAAAGUAAAGCCAAAGAAGGUGAUAGCCCUGUAUAAGUAAUAGAAGAUAACGAUAGUGGUAUCCUGAGUAGGGCGGGACACGAGAAAUCCUGUCUGAAUUUGGCGGGACCAUCCGCUAAGGCUAAAUACUCCUGAGAGACCGAUAGUGAACCAGUACCGUGAGGGAAAGGUGAAAAGAACCGUGAAUAACGGAGUGAAAUAGAUCCUGAAACCAUACGCUUACAAGCGGUCGGAGCCCUUUCGUGGGGUGACGGCGUGCCUUUUGCAUAAUGAGCCUACGAGUUAACGUUGCUGGCAAGGUUAAGUGAUUAAGUCACGGAUCCGUAGCGAAAGCGAGUCUGAAUAGGGCGCUUUAGUCAGUAGUGUUAGACGCGAAACCGUGUGAUCUACCCAUGGACAGGAUGAAGCUGUGGUAACACAUAGUGGAGGUCCGAACCCGUUGACGUUGAAAAGUCUUGGGAUGAUCUGUGGGUAGGGGUGAAAGGCCAAUCAAACUCGGAAAUAGCUCGUACUCCCCGAAAUGCAUUUAGGUGCAGCGUUAUGGUUAAAGUUAUAUAGAGGUAGAGCUACUGAUUGGAUGCGGGGGCUUCACCGCCUACCAAUUCCUGACAAACUCCGAAUGCUAUAUAAUGUUUCAUAACAGUGAGGGCUUGGGUGCUAAGGUCCAAGUCCGAGAGGGAAAGAACCCAGACCAUCAGCUAAGGUCCCCAAAUAUAUACUAAGUUGAAAGAACGAGGUCUGUCUGCAUCGACAGCUAGGAUGUUGGCUUGGAAGCAGCCAUUCAUUUAAAGAGUGCGUAACAGCUCACUAGUCGAGCGGACGGGCAUGGAUAAUAAUCGGGCAUAAGUAUAUUACCGAAGCUAUGGAUUU